ACGGCGACCGGCGCACGGGUGAGUAACACGUAUGCGACCUGCCCGUAGCAGGGGGAUAAGCGGAAGAAAUUCCGUCUAAUACCGCGUAAUAUCUUUCGGGGGCAUCCCUGAGGGAUUAAAGGAAGCGAUUCCGGCUACGGAUGGGCAUGCGGCGCAUUAGCUAGUCGGCGGGGUAACGGCCCACCGAGGCAACGAUGCGUAGGGGUUCUGAGAGGAAGGUCCCCCACACUGGUACUGAGACACGGACCAGACUCCUACGGAAGGCAGCAG
Molecule: ribosomal RNA, 270 nt
Filed under: uncultured bacterium
Lineage: Bacteria
Description: partial 16S ribosomal RNA
Rfam family: Bacterial small subunit ribosomal RNA
Source: RNAcentral